RNAcentral lists this ribosomal RNA (488 nucleotides) under uncultured bacterium. RNAcentral's name for it is "partial 16S ribosomal RNA". It matches the Rfam family "Bacterial small subunit ribosomal RNA", at positions 30 to 507 of the family's 1533-position model. The record is from RNAcentral.
AUUGAACGCUGGCGGCAGGCCUAACACAUGCAAGUCGAACGGUAACAGGAAGCAGCUUGCUGCUUCGCUGACGAGUGGCGGACGGGUGAGUAAUGUCUGGGAAGCUGCCUGAUGAGGGGGAUAACACUGGAAACGGUAGCUAAUACCGCAUAAUGUCGCAAGACCAAAGAGGGGGACCUUCGGGCCUCUUGCCAUCGGAUGUGCCCAGAUGGGAUUAGCUUGUUGGUGGGGUAACGGCUCACCAAGGCGACGAUCCCUAGCUGGUCUGAGAGGAUGACCAGCCACACUGGAACUGAGACACGGUCCAGACUCCUACGGGAGGCAGCAGUGGGGAAUAUUGCACAAUGGGCGCAAGCCUGAUGCAGCCAUGCCGCGUGUAUGAAGAAGGCCUUCGGGUUGUAAAGUACUUUCAGCGGGGAGGAAGGGAGUAAAGUUAAUACCUUUGCUCAUUGACGUUACCCGCAGAAGAAGCACCGGCUAACUCCGUG